AGAAAAUCAUCACCAAAUUCAAUUCGUAAAGCCAAGAGACAUUAUCAAUGAUAAAAGAAACAACUGGAAAACUAAAAUUAUGGAACUAUACACAUACAUACCAACCCCGCUUCCCACCCACCCCAUCAUCAACCAUAUAAUGACUCUCCCUACGACCCUCAGUAAAAAUCUAAGCUUUUUCUCUCUAUUCACAAAAAAUAA
Molecule: unclassified non-coding RNA, 201 nt
Filed under: Hevea brasiliensis (rubber tree)
Lineage: Eukaryota; Viridiplantae; Streptophyta; Magnoliopsida; Malpighiales; Euphorbiaceae
Source: RNAcentral